This 253-nucleotide unclassified non-coding RNA is filed under the name uncultured Bacillaceae bacterium. RNAcentral's name for it is "contains 16S-23S intergenic spacer region". It matches the Rfam family "Bacterial small subunit ribosomal RNA", at positions 524 to 776 of the family's 1533-position model. The record is from RNAcentral. Lineage: Bacteria; Bacillati; Bacillota; Bacilli; Caryophanales; Bacillaceae.
GACGGAGGAGGCAAGCGUUGUUCGGAAUUAUUGGGCGUAAAGCGCGCGCAGGCGGUCUCUUAAGUCUGAUGUGAAAGCCCCCGGCUCAACCGGGGAGGGUCAUUGGAAACUGGGAGACUUGAGUGCAGAAGAGGAGAGUGGAAUUCCACGUGUAGCGGUGAAAUGCGUAGAGAUGUGGAGGAACGCCAGUGGCGAAGGCGACUCUCUGGUCUGUAACUGACGCUGAGGCGCGAAAGCGUGGGGAGCGAACAGG